GCUGACAGGACCCGAGCUUCCGCGACACCAGAAGGUGACGCCAGGGCCGCCCUCAUCCUGCGGAGCCACCGGGGACCGGGGCGAGACGGGGGCGGAAAGGGUCUCGCCCUGAGUCUUCCUCCUGUCCUGGACCCAGCUGUUGUUAUGUCAGUCGAAGACUUAGCCAGCUAUCAAGUCAUGAUCCGCUGUGGAGAAGACAUUGCAAAAAAUACUGGCUGAUAUCUGAGGAAGAGAAAACACAGAAGAAUCAGUGUUGGAAAUCUCUCUUCAUAGAUACUUACUCUGAUGUAGGAAGAUACAUUGACCAUUAUGCUGCUAUUAAAAAGGCCUGGGAUGAUCUCAAGAAAUAUUUGGAGCCCAGGUGUCCUCGGAUGGUUUUAUCUCUGAAAGGUAUUGGUAUCAAGAUGAUGCUGGCCUUAUAAAACGAGUCGAGAAGUGUUGCCUCUUUUUCUGUUCCCUGGAAGAGUUUAUAGGGUGCUCGAGAGGAAGACCUCGAUGCUGUGGAAGCGCAGAUUGGCUGCAAGCUUCCUGACGAUUAUCGAUGUUCAUACCGAAUUCACAAUGGACAGA
RNAcentral lists this small RNA (570 nucleotides) under Pan troglodytes (chimpanzee). RNAcentral describes it as "processed transcript". The record is from RNAcentral. Lineage: Eukaryota; Metazoa; Chordata; Mammalia; Primates; Hominidae.